UCUUUCCUACGGGGCGCAGCAGUGAGGAAUAUUGGUCAAUGGGAGAGAUCCUGAACCAGCCACGCCGCGUGAGGGAAGACGGCCCUAUGGGUUGUAAACCUCUUUUGUCGGAGAACAAAACCCGGGACGUGUCCCGGACUGCGUGUAUCCGAAGAAAAAGCAUCGGCUAACUCCGUGCCAGCAGCCGCGGUAAUACGGAGGAUGCGAGCGUUAUCCGGAUUUACUGGGUGUAAAGGGAGCGUAGACGGCGAUGCAAGUCUGAAGUGAAAGGCGGGGGCCCAACCCCCGGACUGCUUUGGAAACUG
Molecule: ribosomal RNA, 305 nt
Filed under: uncultured bacterium
Lineage: Bacteria
Description: bacterial SSU rRNA
Rfam family: Bacterial small subunit ribosomal RNA
Source: RNAcentral